RNAcentral lists this long non-coding RNA (1706 nucleotides) under Homo sapiens (human). RNAcentral's name for it is "HSALNT0022641". The record is from RNAcentral. Lineage: Eukaryota; Metazoa; Chordata; Mammalia; Primates; Hominidae.
GGCCCUCAGCCUAGCGGUGCAGAGAGGACAUGGAUCUUCCCGAGAUGCCCACAGUCUAUGAGAGAGAAAGACCAAGAAACCGCUGGAGGACUGGGUGAGCAGUGCUCUGAACCGGAGAGGGGUGUCCGACUCAGGAAAGACACUGUGAAGGAGGUGACAUUUCAGCUGUCUCAGGAAGGACAAAUAGGAAGUGGCCUGUGAAGAAGUAGUAGUGGAGGACCAAAAUGUGGGACCGUGGGAGGAAGAGGGGACAGGACUGUUGUGGGGAACAUUGGGUGGGUGUAGGUGGAAAGUGAGGGGUGAAUUUGAGGAGACAAGGAGGAUGGAAAGGGUCUUGAAUGCCACACAAAGGCAUGUCACCUGGAAGCCAGGGGCAUUGAAGGGUUUUAAGCACACGAUGACACCAUCAGAUUUGUGUCUGCUCUGGUCACAUGCUAAUAUGCUUUCUCUUAGUCUGAUUUUGAGUGAGCUCGUGAGUAACCAACGCAAAGGGGUGGCCUGAGAAGGACUCCAUGCUUCUGUAUUUGAGUCCUUGUGGACAAACUGUAACUUAAUAGGUAGACAACAUUGAGUACCUAACUUAGGAGUAUGCACCUGUAAGAACUGCUGAGUCUUGGCCAAUCCCAGCGGCCAUACUUCAACCACUCAUACACCACUGAGUGUUCAAACUGUGUUCAAGUAAGGCAAAGGCCAACCUGUAACCAAUCCAGCUAUUUCUGUAGUUCACCUCCAAUAUCUUUUUUUUUUUUUUUUUUGAGACGGAGUCUCACUCUGUCGCCCAGACUGAAGUGCAGUGGCGCAAUCUCGGCCCACUGCAAGCCUCCGCCUCCCGGGUUUGUGCCAUUCUGCAGCCUCAGCCUCCCGAGUAGCUGGGACUACAGGCACCCGCCACCACGCCCGGCUAAUUUUUUGUAUUUUCAGUGGAGACGGGGUUUCACUGUGUUAGCCAGGAUGGUCUUGAUCUCCCGACCCUCGUGAUCUGCCUCCCUCGGCCUCCCAAAGUGCUGGGAUUACAGGCGUGAGCCACCGCGCCAGCCGCACCUCCAAUUUCUGUAUGUCACUUCCCUUUUUUUGUCUAUGAAUUUGUUCUGACUAUGAGGCAUCCCUGGAGUCUGUGUGAAUCUGCUGUGAUUCGCGGGGGCUGCCUGAUUCACGAAUCGUUCAUUGCUCAACUAAACUCCUUUAAAUUUAAUUCUGCUAAGUUUUUCUUUUAACAGAGGGUUGCGCCAACUCUCUAGAAACAGCCCUUCUUUUACUCAUUUCUAGCAGACUUGCUUUACCCUAUGGGAUUUAGGUCAAGGGCUCACAGAGGGGCCCCCAUACCAUAUGUCUAAAUAUUUAAAAGUUAUAAGAAGCCAACAAACCAUUAAAUAUAAUGUGUUCUAUUCUCCAUCCUUCACAAAUACACUUAAAAAAACAAGAAAACAAAAAAAACAGGGUCUUGCUCUGUCACCCAGGCUGGAGUUUAGUGGUGUGGUCACAGCUUACUGCAGCCUCGACCUUCUGAGCUCAUGAGAUCCUCCCACCUCAGCCUCCCAAGUAGCUGGAACUAUAGGAGCGUGCCAUUAAACCAGGGUAAUUUUUAAAUUUUUACUUUUUUAGAGAUGGGGUCUCGCUAUGUUGCCCAGGCUGGUCUUAAAACCCUGGCCUCAAGCAAUCCUCUGGUUUUGGCCUCCCAAAUCUCUGGGAUUACACACGUGAGCCGC